UGGUGAAUUCGGUUCUUUGUACUUAAUUUAUUAGCAUGAUUUCUUUUUAAUAUGUUGUGUACAGACUUAAUUACUUCUCUGUCUACUUUUCUUACUCCAUGUAGGUUUCCCAGAGACUAUGGGUUGAGGAGGAAUUGGAAGUUUGUCGGCUUAGACCUGGUGUCAUUCCAUCAGUGUUAAACUUCCCGGUUCAUCUUGGAAGAGUACGUGCCAGAAAGACCACGACCAAGCAGCCUUGAGAUCUUAGGCAGCGUCUCCCUGAGACCAAAGAACUACAGACUCUUCACAACCUGCUCAAACUCUUGUACA
Long non-coding RNA from Amphiprion ocellaris (clown anemonefish), 309 nucleotides. The record is from Ensembl. Lineage: Eukaryota; Metazoa; Chordata; Actinopteri; Pomacentridae.